RNAcentral lists this ribosomal RNA (253 nucleotides) under uncultured bacterium. RNAcentral describes it as "partial 16S ribosomal RNA". It matches the Rfam family "Bacterial small subunit ribosomal RNA", at positions 524 to 776 of the family's 1533-position model. The record is from RNAcentral.
UACGUAGGGGGCAAGCGUUGUCCGGAAUCAUUGGGCGUAAAGCGCGUGUAGGCGGCCCGAUAAGUCCGCUGUGAAAGUCCAGGGCUCAACCCUGGGAUGCCGGUGGAUACUGUCGGGCUCGAGUCCGGAAGAGGCGAGUGGAAUUCCUGGUGUAGCGGUGAAAUGCGCAGAUAUCAGGAGGAACACCAAUGGCGAAGGCAGCACUCUGGGACGUGACUGACGCUGAGACGCGAAAGCGUGGGGAGCAAACAGG